AUCAUGUUGGCCUAAUUGGCAAGGCGUCGUACUACGGAUACGUCGAAUGCAAGUUCGAGUCUUGUACGUGCUU
Molecule: transfer RNA, 73 nt
Filed under: Morchella semilibera
Lineage: Eukaryota; Fungi; Ascomycota; Pezizomycetes; Pezizales; Morchellaceae
Description: tRNA-Arg
Rfam family: tRNA
About the family: Transfer RNA (tRNA) molecules are approximately 80 nucleotides in length. Their secondary structure includes four short double-helical elements and three loops (D, anti-codon, and T loops).
Source: RNAcentral